This 248-nucleotide unclassified non-coding RNA is filed under the name uncultured fungus. RNAcentral describes it as "partial contains 5.8S ribosomal RNA, internal transcribed spacer 2, and large subunit ribosomal RNA". The stretch from base 1 to 52 matches the Rfam family "5.8S ribosomal RNA", at positions 103 to 154 of the family's 154-position model. The record is from RNAcentral. Lineage: Eukaryota; Fungi.
AACGCACAUUGCGCCCUCUGGUAUUCCGGGGGGCAUGCCUGUUCGAGCGUCAUUACAACCCUCAAGCUAUGCUUGGAUAUGGAUUAUACCUCUCAAUGAGCAGGUCAAUCUCAAAAUCAUUGGCGGUGCCCAGUGCAGACUUGGAGCGUAGUAAUCUUGAUACCGCUUUUCAAGUCCGCUGGCUACUUGCUUAUAGCACAAUAUAAUUGGUUGACCUCGGAUCAGGUAGGGAUACCCGCUGAACUUAA